UGACAAUGUAUCAUUAAAAUAUGAAUUAUUAAAGAUAUUUGACUUGUAAUGCACCAUAACUGAGUAGAGCAAAGCAAAAACUGCCUUGACUUGCCCUCAAACAACGCUUUCUAACUCUAAAUCUAUUUGGAGUAUCAAUAUCAUUUUUUCACCGUAAGAGACAGCAGGCUUUGGUGAACAAUCAUGGAAAUUUUCAGGUCUCUGUGGAAAUCCAUUAAAAAGAUAUGACGAGAGAAAAAAGUGGUUCAUUUCCAGAGUUUGAAAUCUGAAGAAAUCUGAGCGAGGGACGAAUUUCCUACCCUCAAACAAGUCUAACUCAUUUCAGAACGGUAAUAGGUGAGAAAGAAAUUCUUGAAUUGUGAGCGUCAGGAGUGUCUGAAGAUAUACUGGGACAAGCCUCAUGUUUUAACUUCGCUUCGUUAAGGAGAUAUGACGAUUCGAAUAUGCCUCUCAUUACAGAAAUCAAGCGGUGAUUUUGAACAAACUCUCCAUUGACUUUCUAUGGAGAGUUUUCAGACUUUGUGUUGGUCUG
Long non-coding RNA from Oreochromis aureus, 532 nucleotides. The record is from Ensembl. NCBI's taxonomy places the organism in Eukaryota, Metazoa, Chordata, Actinopteri, Cichliformes, Cichlidae.